This 468-nucleotide ribosomal RNA is filed under the name uncultured bacterium. RNAcentral describes it as "partial 16S ribosomal RNA". It matches the Rfam family "Bacterial small subunit ribosomal RNA", at positions 28 to 507 of the family's 1533-position model. The record is from RNAcentral.
GACGAACGCUGGCGGCGUGCUUAACACAUGCAAGUCGAACGGAAAGGCCCUGCUUUUGUGGGGUGCUCGAGUGGCGAACGGGUGAGUAACACGUGAGUAACCUGCCCUUGACUUUGGGAUAACUUCAGGAAACUGGGGCUAAUACCGGAUAGGAGCUCCUGCUGCAUGGUGGGGGUUGGAAAGUUUCGACGGUUGGGGAUGGACUCGCGGCUUAUCAGCUUGUUGGUGGGGUAGUGGCUUACCAAGGCUUUGACGGGUAGCCGGCCUGAGAGGGUGACCGGCCACAUUGGGACUGAGAUACGGCCCAGACUCCUACGGGAGGCAGCAGUGGGGAAUAUUGCACAAUGGGCGGAAGCCUGAUGCAGCCAAGCCGCGUGCGGGAUGACGGCCUUCGGGUUGUAAACCGCUUUCGCCUGUGACGAAGCGUGAGUGACGGUAAUGGGUAAAGAAGCACCGGCUAACUACGUG